CAAUAGCGUAUAUUAAAGUUGUUGCAGUUAAAAAGCUCGUAGUUGGACUUGUGGUGGUCCCUGUGGUCCAAUUUUGGUACUGUCGGGGACUUCCAUCUUUGGGUGGAUCCUGUGUGGCAUUAGGUUGUCGUGCAGGGGAUGCCCAUCGUUUACUGUGAAAAAAUUAGAGUGUUCAAAGCAGGCUUAUGCCGUUGAAUAUAUUAGCAUGGAAUAAUGAGAUAGGACCUUGGUACUAUUUUGUUGGUUUGCGCACCGAGGUAAUGAUUAAUAGGGACAGUUGUGGGUAUUCGUAUUCCAUUGUCAGAGGUGAAAUUCUUGGAUUUCUGGAAGACGAACUAAUGCGAAAGCAUUUACCAAGGAUGUUUUCAUUA
Molecule: ribosomal RNA, 371 nt
Filed under: uncultured eukaryote
Lineage: Eukaryota
Description: partial 18S ribosomal RNA
Rfam family: Eukaryotic small subunit ribosomal RNA
Source: RNAcentral